UGUAUCAAAAGCUGUGUUUAAUGAUCAGACGGAAUGGCAGCAAGGCCACACGGACAGACGGAGCCAAGGACAGGACCGCCGCCUCUGAACCCCUCCCCACUGGUCAAACGUCCAACACCAAAAAAGAGACGUCCCCACCCCGUCCCCAUGUACAAAAUGGCUUCAGUGAAGGCGCCAUUACUCCCUGGGAAGCUGGUAUUUUUUGUAAGGGAUCAGGGCUCACCCCUGCCACCCUCUGUCCGGAACAGACCCGUGAGAGCGCAGCGCUCAGCAGUCCCCGUGUGCAGCUGGGGACGACUGACUUGACAGAAACAGAUUCUGGACUCGAGUCUGGAGGCCGCACUCAACAGGGCGGGUGGCGGGCGGGAGCUGGGGCCCAGGCACCACAGACAGCCAGGGUGCGGGCUCUGUCUCUGCGGCCACAGGGAGCGCUGCUUCGGAAGUGACCACGUGCCGCGGGAGGGCCAUCCGAGGCCAGCAGAGGCUGGGAGCUGUGCAAAGCCUCUCCAAAGAAAAGCCUGGACUACCGUCUCUCGCCCCUGGGCCUGGUCCCCGGCUUCUCCUGAACCUUCUGAAAUGCCCAUCAGAAUGGGGAGACCUUUGGGGUGGGGGUGCUGGCCCCAGGA
Molecule: long non-coding RNA, 626 nt
Filed under: Homo sapiens (human)
Lineage: Eukaryota; Metazoa; Chordata; Mammalia; Primates; Hominidae
Description: non-protein coding lnc-LSM7-2:1
Source: RNAcentral